Molecule: ribosomal RNA, 229 nt
Filed under: uncultured bacterium
Lineage: Bacteria
Description: partial 16S ribosomal RNA
Rfam family: Bacterial small subunit ribosomal RNA
Source: RNAcentral
UACGUAGGCGGGCUAAUAAGUCAGUGGUGAAAUCUCUCGGCUCAACCGGGAAACUGCCAUUGAUACUGUUAGUCUUGAGUUCGGUUGAGGUAGGCGGAAUGUGUAAUGUAGCGGUGAAAUGCUUAGAUAUUACACAGAACACCAAUUGCGUAGGCAGCUUACUAGACCGACACUGACGCUGAGGCACGAAAGUGUGGGGAGCGAACAGGAUUAGAUACCCUGGUAGUCC